UGGGGAAUAUUGCACAAUGGGCGCAAGCCUGAUGCAGCCAUGCCGCGUGUAUGAAGAAGGCCUUCGGGUUGUAAAGUACUUUCAGCGAGGAGGAAGGCGGUAAGGUUAAUAACCUUAUCGAUUGACGUUACUCGCAGAAGAAGCACCGGCUAACUCCGUGCCAGCAGCCGCGGUAAUACGGAGGGUGCAAGCGUUAAUCGGAAUUACUGGGCGUAAAGCGCACGCAGGCGGUCUGUCAAGUCGGAUGUGAAAUCCCCGGGCUCAACCUGGUAACUGCAUUCGAAACUGGCAGGCUAGAGUAUUGUAGAGGGGUGUAGAAUUCCAGGUGUAGCGGUGAAAUGCGUAGAGAUCUGGAGGAAUACCGGUGGCGAAGGCGGCCCCCUGGACAAAGACUGACGCUCAGGUGCGAAAGCGUGGGGAGCAAACA
This 427-nucleotide ribosomal RNA is filed under the name uncultured bacterium. RNAcentral describes it as "partial 16S ribosomal RNA". It matches the Rfam family "Bacterial small subunit ribosomal RNA", at positions 355 to 774 of the family's 1533-position model. The record is from RNAcentral.